GUGCAGCCGCGCGGUAAUACCGGCAGCACGAGUGAUGGCCGAUAUUAUUGGGCCUAAAGCGUCCGUAGCUUGCUGUGUAAGUCCAUUGGGAAAUCGACGUGCUCAACGCGUCGGCGUCCGGUGGAAACUACACGGCUUGGGGCCGAGAGACUCGACGGGUACGUCCGGGGUAGGAGUGAAAUCCUGUAAUCCUGGACGGACCGCCAAUGGGGAAACCACGUCGAGAGACCGGACCCGACAGUGAGGGACGAAAGCCAGGGUCUCGAACCGGAUUAGAAACCCGAGUAGUCC
Molecule: ribosomal RNA, 291 nt
Filed under: uncultured bacterium
Lineage: Bacteria
Description: partial 16S ribosomal RNA
Rfam family: Archaeal small subunit ribosomal RNA
Source: RNAcentral